Molecule: ribosomal RNA, 1308 nt
Filed under: metagenome
Description: bacterial LSU rRNA
Rfam family: Bacterial large subunit ribosomal RNA
Source: RNAcentral
GGGCCGCCCGUACCCCAAACCGACACAGGUGGUCAGGUAGAGAAUACCGAGGCGAUCGAGUGAACCGUGGUUAAGGAACUCGGCAAAAUGCCCCCGUAACUUCGGGAGAAGGGGGGCCGCGGCUGGUGAUGGGACUUGCUCCCUGAGCUGGCUACGGCCGCAGAGACCAGGCUGAAGCGACUGUCUACUAAAAACACAGGUCCAUGCCAAGUCGCAAGACGAUGUGUAUGGACUGACGCCUGCCCGGUGCUGGAACGUUAAGGGGACCGGUUAGCCGCAAGGCGAAGCUGUGAACUUAAGCGCCAGUAAACGGCGGUGGUAACUAUAACCAUCCUAAGGUAGCGAAAUUCCUUGUCGGGUAAGUUCCGACCUGCACGAAUGGCGUAACGACUUCAGCGCUGUCUCAACCACGGACCCGGCGAAAUCGCACUACGAGUAAAGAUGCUCGUUACGCGCGGCAGGACGGAAAGACCCCGGGACCUUUACUACAGUUUGGUAUUGGUGUUCGAUUCGGUUUGUGUAGGAUAGGUGGGAGACUGUGAAGCCCGGACGCCAGUUCGGGUGGAGUCGUCCUUGAAAUACCACUCUGAUCGUAUUGGAUGUCUAACCUCGGUCCAUGAUCUGGAUCAGGGACAGUGCCUGAUGGGUAGUUUAACUGGGGCGGUUGCCUCCCAAAAAGUAACGGAGGCGCUCAAAGGUUCCCUCAGCCUGGUUGGCAAUCAGGUGUCGAGUGCAAGUACACAAGGGAGCUUGACUGUGAGACCGACGGGUCGAGCAGGGACGAAAGUCGGAACUAGUGAUCCGGCACCGGCAUGUGGAAGCGGUGUCGCUCAACGGAUAAAAGGUACCCCGGGGAUAACAGGCUGAUCUUGCCCAAGAGUUCAUAUCGACGGCAUGGUUUGGCACCUCGAUGUCGGCUCGUCGCAUCCUGGGGCUGGAGUAGGUCCCAAGGGUUGGGCUGUUCGCCCAUUAAAGCGGCACGCGAGCUGGGUUUAGAACGUCGUGAGACAGUUCGGUCCCUAUCCGCCGCGCGCGCAGGAGUCUUGAGGAGGGCUGUCCCUAGUACGAGAGGACCGGGACGGACGAACCUCUGGUGUGCCAGUUGUCCUGCCAAGGGCAUGGCUGGUUGGCUACGUUCGGAAGGGAUAACCGCUGAAAGCAUCUAAGCGGGAAGCUCGCUCCAAGAUGAGGACUCCCACAGGGUUAACCUGGUAAGGCCCCCAGCGAGAACACUGGGUUGAUAGGCCGGAAGUGGAAGCGCAGCAAUGCGUGCAGCUGACCGGUACUAAUAGGCCGAGGACUUGACUC